GUCUCGGUAGUCUAAAGGCUUAGGACGCUUGCACGGAAUGCAAGAGAUCCAGGUUCGACUCCCGGUCGAGGUA
Molecule: transfer RNA, 73 nt
Filed under: Trachymyrmex cornetzi
Lineage: Eukaryota; Metazoa; Arthropoda; Insecta; Hymenoptera; Formicidae
Rfam family: tRNA
About the family: Transfer RNA (tRNA) molecules are approximately 80 nucleotides in length.
Source: Rfam by way of RNAcentral